GCUCCCUCCCGCCUCCCUUUUCCCUCAGUGAACUGCUUCCUCGCGUCAGUUCGGGUCCUUCCUCGGCAGAACAGCGAUCCCCGGGCCCGUACAGCCGCACAGAAGGCAGCGGGAUCUUAUCGGGGUGUGGAGGGGCCGUCACGCCGGGCCAGGCCUCUCCCUGGCCCUGAGGUGUCCGCCUGCAGGGUCACUGCUCGGUGCUCGCUGCUCUGCCCGGCAGUGUCUCGGAGCUGCUGUGAUAUAGACACUGGAGACAAUCAGCCACUGAAGAUCAGACAAUGUCUGUGUGUUCCCACUCAGUGGGCCGGAGGCCGGAUGUUCCCAGUUAUCUGUUCUGCAUGUGGAUGUCCACGGGUAUGAAGGUCACGGUGGGAUGCUGAGACAGGCUGUGGCUGUUCUGCCCUAAAGCUGGUGGCAUUGCUGGUUUGGCACUUUUGGGUUCCAGCUCCCGCUUCACUCUCAUGCGCCUGAAAAGGUAAAAAUGAAAUUGUCACCAGGGUUGGCACG
Molecule: long non-coding RNA, 507 nt
Organism: Calidris pugnax (ruff)
Lineage: Eukaryota; Metazoa; Chordata; Aves; Charadriiformes; Scolopacidae
Exons: 3
Source: RefSeq, a predicted model, not a curated record